This 408-nucleotide ribosomal RNA is filed under the name uncultured bacterium. RNAcentral describes it as "partial 16S ribosomal RNA". It matches the Rfam family "Bacterial small subunit ribosomal RNA", at positions 28 to 526 of the family's 1533-position model. The record is from RNAcentral.
GACGAACGCUGGCGGCGUGCUUAACACAUGCAAGUCGAACGAAGUGGCGAACGGGUGAGUAACGCGUAAACAAACUGCCCUUCAGAGGGGGACAACAGAUGGAAACGACUGCUAAUACCGCAUACUGAAGGAGGGGAUUGAGUCUGAGUAGCUAGUUGGGGUGGUAACGGCCCACCAAGUCGAGGAUCAGUAGCCGGUCUGGUACGAUGAACGGCCACAUUGUGACUGAGACCCGGCCCAGACGCCUACGGUAGGCAGCAGUGGGGAAUCUUCCGCAAUUGACGAAAGUCUGACGAAGAAACGCCGCGUGAGUGAUGACGGCCUUCGGGUUGUAAAGCUCGGUUAAGCGGGACGCGGUACAAAGAUAGAAAGCCGCGGCUAACUUCGUGCCAGCAGCCGCGGUAAUAC